UAUUUCCGCACAACACCCCCGCCGCACAACACUUCCCUUCCCCCUCGCGCGACGUCGGGAAACGUGUCGAGCGGCGAGAGUUGUCGGCUCGUCAUUGGCUGCCUCGCGCCGUGUCAACAAACGCCAAGAUGGUUGGUAUCGAGUCUAUGUCAAGGUAUGUCUCCCCGGUGAAUCCCGCCAUCUACCCACACUUGACGUUAGUUCUCAUGAGCAUUGGGAUAUUCUUCACAGCAUGGUUCUUUGUGUAUGAAGUCACCUCCACAAAGCUCACAAGAGACUUCUUCAAGGAGUGCCUCAUUGCCCUUGUUGCUUCUGUGUUUAUGGGAUUCGGCAUCUUGUUCCUACUUCUAUGGGUAGGGAUAUACGUUUGAGAGGGUUUAUAAGGAUAUAGAAGCGUAAAAAUGAGCAUUUGGAAGUGAGUGAAAGGCACCAUAGUCAUUCCAGCAAAUUGAAGUCUGAUUCCAUGUUGUGACUGAAAUAAAGGGUUGUUGUUUUUCCA
This 499-nucleotide unclassified non-coding RNA is filed under the name Penaeus chinensis. RNAcentral describes it as "transmembrane protein 258-like, transcript variant X3". Lineage: Eukaryota; Metazoa; Arthropoda; Malacostraca; Decapoda; Penaeidae. The record is from RNAcentral.